This 628-nucleotide ribosomal RNA is filed under the name Johnius macrorhynus (big-snout croaker). RNAcentral's name for it is "partial 16S ribosomal RNA". It matches the Rfam family "Bacterial large subunit ribosomal RNA", at positions 1793 to 2619 of the family's 2925-position model. The record is from RNAcentral. Lineage: Eukaryota; Metazoa; Chordata; Actinopteri; Sciaenidae.
GCCUCGCCUGUUUACCAAAAACAUCGCCUCUUGUCUGUUUUAAAAUAAGAGGUCCAGCCUGCCCAAGGACCAUGUGUUUAACGGCUGCGGUAUUCUGACCGUGCGAAGGUAGCGUGAUCACUUGUCUUUUAAAUAGAGACCCGUAUGAAUGGUAAAACGAGGGCUUAGCUGUCUCCUUUUUCAUGUCAAUGAAAUUGAUCUUCUCGUGCAAAAGCGGGAGUUAUAUCAUAAGACGAGAAGACCCUGUGAAGCUUUAGAUAAUGGGGCAGACCUGGCCAAUAAACCUUAAUAAGGGGUUGAGCUGUAUAAGUUCUGUCUUAAUGUCUUUGGUUGGGGCGACCACGGAGAGUCACGUAACCUCCGUGUGGACUGGGUGCAAGAGUGUUUUGUUCCUAAAGCCAAGAGCUGUUGCUCUAAUAAACAGAAUUUCUGACCUCCUAUGAUCCGGCAAUGCUGAUCAACGGACCGAGUUACUCCAGGGAUAACAGCGCCAUCCUCUUUCAGAGCCCUUAUCGACAAGGGGGUUUACGACCUCGAUGUUGGAUCAGGACAUCCUAAUGGUGUAGCCGCUAUUAAGGGUUCGUUUGUUCAACGAUUAAUAGUCCUACGUGAUCUGAGUUCAGACCGG